Molecule: long non-coding RNA, 816 nt
Filed under: Chrysemys picta bellii (western painted turtle)
Lineage: Eukaryota; Metazoa; Chordata; Testudines; Emydidae
Description: lncRNA (ENSCPBG00000006520.1)
Source: RNAcentral
AUGGCAGUGAAACUGCCUAUGCUGCCUAAAGGAGACCACUCUGUGGACCUGGCAAACAUCACUAACUACCUCAUUGAAGAAAAGCUAAUGAGGCCCCUCAGGGACCUCUACAACAUCAACCCAGUAGCUGAGUAUUAUAGAAUCAAACAGAGGAUGAUGGAGAGUCCCUUUGAAUAUCAUGCUGUGCUGAUGGGCAAAAAGCACGUUAGGACUUUUGAUGGAAGAAUGUAUGAUCUGACAUCGAAGUGCAGUGUGCUUCUUGCCAAGGAUUUUGUUCACAAUACCUUUACUGUAGUGCUGAACCAGGAGAGUAGUGGCUUGAGAUCAUUGCACGUGGAGAUGAACCGGACUACCAUUGAUAUCUACCCAGGACUGAAGACAUACAAGAUGUAUAAUUUUUCCCUGAUGGAAGAGAACUGCCUCAGUCUUGAUCAAUCCCUUGAAAUGAACGGCAUCACCGUGAGAAAAGAAGCUAACAGAAUAGAAGUAUUGAAUGAGAAUGGAAUUUCUGUCUCCUGCGACUUUCACUAUGAUCUCUGUACUGUUACCCUGGAUGGAUGGCAUCAUGGUGUAUCAGCUGGUCUUUUUGGUACCAAUGAUAAUGAAGCUGGAAAUGAAUGGAUGCUUCCCAAUCACUCCUACACUGAUAGCGUGAAGGAAUUUACACGGAGCUGGCAGCAUCUUUGGAGUGCUGAACACUGCCAAGAAGAAUCUAUAGAUGACUUUAGCUGAACUCUGUGUGCUGCUUGCAGUCAGUUUGACUCCUAUCCCGUUCAGAAAAAGUAAUAAAAAGAUUGACUUGCUGAUAAUGUACCA